GAAUAGCAGCACCCGCGAGGGAGAGCAGCGGCAGCUCCAAUGAAUUCAAACUCCAAGAUGGGAAGAAGAAGAGAAUCAGAGACUUGAGUCAAGCACCAUGCAAAUUGGAGUACCAACUUCAUCUAAUUGCUACAGAAAAACAAUGUGCUACUUUUCAAUUUAAUUCAUGGCUACACAAAUUUGCGUUGCCAUGAACAAAAUCUUGCCUUACACUGGACAAAGGAAGAACGCAUCCACAACAAGAGACAUCGCCUGGCUUCAGUCCCCCGCUGGACCAAGACGCCGGCUCCAGUGGCUUCGUCCCUACCGCACCGACGAAUCACACCUCCGCGUUUAAUCCUGCCGCCACCAAUGGCGAUGGCAUUUGCUUCCCCUGGCCUCGGCCCCGCGCUAGACCAGGACACCAGAACCACCAGUUUCGCAGCCGCUCGGCGACGGGGUCGCUGCCCGCACGGAGACGCGCGUAGGCACCCGAGGCCGCGGCUCCUGGACCAUCCUCCGUGGUGACGCCCCUGGCGCCCGACGCGGCCACCACAUCUAACGCGGAGUGACUUCGUCCAUGGACUCGCCUGUCGAGGGAAUUGUCGCGGCUUCCGGUCGGCGACGCCUGAAGUGGGCACGCCGCAGCGGCUUGUCCCUCCGGCAUCGGUGACUUGCUCCAUGCGCGUCAGCAAAGCAAGGCAAGGUGAGGCGGUGCAGUCUGGCGUGGCUCCUUCGGGCGCGCACGCUGCGGUGUCCUUCGGCCUCGGCAACAGGGGUCGGGGGAGCGGUUGCUCCAAGGGAGACGAAACCGUCUCCUCCUCCUGCCUUAUCCACUCCAGGUGGUGGUUGGCUGGGCCGCCUGUAAGGCCGCAUGGGCCAGCAGGCCCAUGUGUUUUCGGUCCAUUUUAAAUCCUGGACGAUUUUACCGAAUUAAUCCUACAUUUUUCUUGAUUAAUUUCGCAUUUUGUUCUAUUAACAGUAGUUUAACUCCGUUUUAGACACUGUUAAUUACAGUACUUAAAUUUUCAGUAUUGUAAAUAUGUUGAGUACUAUGUAUUCCAUAUAAUAUGUUGAUGUAAUAUAUCUCCGUGUUUCUUACAUGUUGAGAUUAAUUACAUCUAUUAUUUGCAACUGAGAUUUUUUUAUCUCUUGCAAAGAUAUUCAGUACCUCUAUAGUACUGUUUCUUCAUUGAGUACGGUGUAUUUCGAAAUAUUUUCUAUGAUGUAUCUAUUUCCAUGUUAAACACAUCUCGAGAUUAAUACAUCUAUUUGCAAUAGAGAUUUUUAAUUUCUUGCAAAUACAGAUGCAAACUUCUUAGUGAUUUCUUCAAAUUGAUGUAUUGGGAUCACAAGGUAGUGUGUAGAUCUACUGCUUUGUAGAUUAUCACCACUACAGUUAAAGCCUACAUUUUGUCAUUUUGACAUUAUUAUUACUUUACAAAGUGCUCUCCCACACAUUUUUCUAAGUCAUCACAUAAGGCAUUACGAGUUGAGUAUGUACUGAUUUCAUCAGAUUAUACUCCCUAGUGCUGCGAGAUCUACUCCAUUUCGGAGAUUAUCUUCAACAUGUCAUACUUAGCAAUUUGAGAUUCACAACUAAUGGUUUCUUGAAAUUUCCAUUAAUUUUGCAAUUCAUUACAACUCUAACCAUGAUGGUCUUUAAUUUACUGAUCGUAAAUUAAUUAUCUCUAGUAACCGAUGGCUAGAGAAUUGAGGCAUUCACCCUUAAUGGCCACCACUGGCCUACCUAGGCCAUGGACAUCAUGAUCGCUCUUGUGUCUCGUGGGAUAAUGUGUGCCAUCCAAGACCCGUCGGAUCCUCCUAAGGUUGGAGUCACACCACUAACAGAAUAAACAUGUUGCUUUAUGCACCAUAAGGCAUUAUAUCGAUCCAGAUCUCAGCAUCUGGUUAUUCUGUAUUAGCAAUCCCUGGGAUACAAAGAACCUCAAGGGAAAAAGGUUCGAAGGUCACUCCAAACCUUCAACCUGCCACCAUCAUGGCAGUCAGUUAUUUGCAUGACGUUCUUCUAGAACCGAGCAAUAAAAUGACUAUCCAGCUGUCACAGGACCCUAUGAGCAGGGAGAACAUGAAGGUUGAAUAUGCAUCAAUUGACAUGUUUGGAGACUACAUUUAGUCCCUCAAUCUCCUUAGUGAUCUAUUUAUUUAUGUCCAUUUCUGAUGUUCUAAUGUGAACAUGGUUAUUGUUGUCAUCAUAUAUUGUAUCAGCAUUUUGGUACAAAUACAUUUAUAUGUAUUCUAUAUAUCUACAAUGAUUUUCUUGAGAAUCUUCAUGUCUAUAUAUAGAUUUCUAUGGGGGUCAAUCUGAUAAAAGAUGAUUUGUGCAAUGUGGACAUAUGCAUCACGAACUCUAUAAUCAGGGAAGUGAGAUGUUUCCACUCUCGUUGAGAGAAAGGAGAUAUUUUAAAAUUGCUAGACACGAUGAGGUAUUUGUUGGCUCAACUCGAGUCAUAUUUACUGUCCCUGUGGGUACUCGAGUAACAUCAGGAUGCUUUAUUGCUUUCGGGUUUAACUCGUAUCCUACUAAACUAUAGAGGUAUCCGUCAAAAUAGUUUCCAUAGUGAAACUUAUGAUGACAAUAAAGAGGAAUAUCUUCUCUUUACGGUAUGCAACGGAUAUGGCAAGCACAUUCUCUAUGUAUUAUCCGGGUUGUACUACACAUACUACAAAACCCGUAGCACAUGUUGCGCAUGAGAGAGCUUUCCAGAGUGUCUUUUGCAUGACAAACUUGGUAUUCCCUCUUUGGCCAUCAUUGACAUUGGGUUGAAACCAAAACUAUCAACAAUUCCAAUGGUUUAUGAUUAUUAUGAUGCUAAAUUAUAACAUUUUAUGUGCACUACGUGUGACACAGGGAGGCUAAUUUUAAGGCUCUCAUGCCUUAAAGUCUACGCUGAACCUCUCAGACUCCUUGAAUGCAUCAAGUCGAGGUAAGUGGCUCUUCCCAACCAUUGAGUAGACUAUUCAGGUAUUCCAUGGUUCUAAAGGACAUAUCUACACGAUGGUGUUAAAUGUGUGCUUUAUUCACACGGAACCAAUGGCUCAUUAUACUGACAUCGAUUUCAAGCAAAUCGAAUGGACAACAUUGUAGAAUUCUCCUUGUGCCUUCUCUAUGGCCCUCGGAUUGAAGUUUAGCAAUUUGUGCUAAUGUCUAGACUCAAAAUGGUUUGGUAGAAUCCUUUAUCCAAAGAGUUAAGCUCAUUGCAUUAUCUUCACUUUGGAAUUGCAACUUACCAACUUUACAUUGGAGUCAUGCAGUUUUACACGCUCAUGUCCAAACUGCAUAUAUUAUUCCCCUCUAUCUUUGAUACGUGGAAAUCUACCAAGUAUUUCCCAUCUGCGGUAAUUCAGUUACACACCAACAUCACCACCCCGGCAUACAUCAUUGGCCCCUCAACAUAUAGUUGGGAUCUAUGUGAGGAAUAACUGUAUUUCCGUGAAUACCUCAAGCCCCUCGCAUGGGGAGUUAUUUAAGGCCAGUAUCCUGAUUCAAUGAGGAACAUUUCCAGGCAUUAGGGGGAGAAUUCAAGUACCAUAAAGAAUGCCAGGAAAUUAGUGGAAUGUUCAACACAUUUCUGCCUCAGAUCCACGUACUCAAAGAUCUAAACCAUGCGUUCAGAAGAUUUGCAUUACAUUGCAAAUAAACUGCCAGAUUCAUUUACUGACUAUAAAGGUGUCACACAAUCCUGCAAAAGUAUGCCUGAAAGAGUGGAGAUACCAACAAAAUCCACUCCACUCUCUGUUCAAAGCAACAUGGGGAGAUGUAUGGCAUAAGUACAUCAGGAUUCAAAUUCUCGCAAGCAAGGAUAUCAAGGCCUAUGAAUUAGUAAAUGCAAGUCAACUUCACGUUGACAGACACCUAAUGGGCAGUAUACCCAGUGGAUGGGAAACCUCCACCAACCCAGGUCACAGUGCACACAAUGACCGGGACAUCGGAAUACCCGACUCAAUCACAUUGGGAAAUCGCGAGCAGUCACCAUGGGUAACGAUAUUUCCAUCAACUAUAUAUUUAUAUAUAGAUUCUGGAGAAUCAUAUAUCUGGAAGACUACAAUUGUCGACAUACAUUUCUCAACUAGAUUGCAAAAACCUUUCAAAUGAUUCAGAUCCAGAGACCAUGGCCAUGGCAAAGUGUGAAAAACACUCGGAUUGAACUCAAGCAAAAGGUAUAAUCUAGGUAGAAAUGACCUUGCUCAAUAAUGGGAAGGUAUUCAUAAGCAAUGUCUACACCAGUUUUCUUCUCAAAACGGAAUUGAGAAAAUCGAGGUGGUGAAACAAAGAGCAAGUAUUGUAGCACAAGGGUUCAUGUAGAUGCCCAACUAUUCUCCAAAGGUGGAAUCUCUUUCCGAUAAUUUAUAUCAUUGGUAGUACAAAAUCAUCUAUCUCUGUAGUUGAGAGAUGUAGUGGUUACAUACCCAUGUAGAUCACUACAUUCAGAUAUAGAUGGUUCCCGAUGGAACCUCAAUUCUGAAUCGAAGUACAAAAUGCAACAUAUAUUGUGUAAAAACAAUAAGUCACUAUGUGACUUAUUAUUAUCGUCGGUACAUUUGGUACAACCGUGGUAGUGAGUUCCUUAUUCACAAGGAUUACUCCUACCAUGAUGAUUAUCCAUGUUUGUGUGUCUGCAAUGAUGACACAUGCAAUCAUCUAAAUGACGGAGUUUAAAAUGAAGAAUUUGGGUAAACCAAAAUACCGUUCGCUACUACAACUUGAGCACCUUCAUUCAUACAUUAUGGUACACCAUGUUGUCUAUAUCCAAAAUAUAUUGGGGAAAUUCAUUGUGGACAAAUCUUAUCCAUCCAUAACUCUCAUGGUAGUUCAUUCUCUAGACGUAGAGAAAGAUCUAUUUAGACCAAGAGAUGACGGAAAUGAGAUAUCGGGACUCAAUCUUCCAUAAUGCCAUUGGAUCCACCAAACGCAAUUGGUUGGUACUCAAGAAUAUCUUUCGAUAUCUCCAAGGCAUCAAACAUCUUGUCUUGGUUUUUUAGUUUCAUAGGAAUGUGAACACCGAUAUCAUUGGAUACGUAGAUCAGAACCCUACUAUGUCAUAUUGUAGACAAGCUUAGUGUUCCUCCUAGGUGUAGUAGCCCUCUCAUGAGAAAUCUUUGAAACAUACCUCAUGGCUACAUCCACCAACCAUUAUCUCAACGAUAAUGUUUCUUGUGUUUCCCGAAUGCAAACAAGUUACAUAAUAAGCAAUAUCACUAUAUUGCAUAUCUUUCAAGUCAAAUCAUGCGACUGAUUUGCUGAUCAGGUUUCUACCAACUUCUAUGUUCCGGAAAUGUGUUCAUAGGAUUGGUAGGUGACGACUUCGGAUUUUGCAAGAAUCAGGGGGAUUAUCUUCCUGAAUUGUUCAUGUUCAAUGCAUCACAUUAUACUCUUUUUCCCUUCAUGAGUUUACUUUACAAGUUCUCAUAAAGGUUUUUAAUGAGGUAAUAUCAAAAUGAGAUCAUAUGUCAUACUUUCAGUUUUCCCCACCGGAUUAAUUAGGAAUGUAUAUACGACAUAUUUAUUGUCCUCUGAACUCUAUGGGUUUUCUUGUAUUGAGUUAAAAGAGACAAUAACCAUUAUAUGUUGCACCAUUUUCUCCUUAUUUAUCCCACUGGGUUUGAAGGAGUUUUAGCAACGUAUCAUACUACAAUACUUCUCACAUUUUCCCAUAGGGUUUUUGGAGAAGAGUUAAUUCAAGGAUGAUCCCAGAGAUGAUCGAUUGCAAGGACAAGGAAGGAUUAGGGGGAGUUUUAGGAUUAAAUUAAUAGGUUAAUUAAAGAGAUAAUCCUCCCAUUGUAAUCUGUACGUUGGUUGCAUUGGCAACCAUCGCGCCUCUCCCCUUGCACCUCUACGAACAGUCGCAUCUCUUAAUCGCAUUUGUUCCCCUUGUAUAUAUAUCGAGAAUCAUUCAAUGAAAUCGACAGUUCGAUCAUUUGUUCCUUUCGAUCUCAAAUAGGUUUAUCCCUGAUCGAUACAAAAUCCUAAUUAUAGAGCAUUUGAGACACUUUUGGAUCCUCAUGCCUAGGUUUUGUUCAACUAUUUGACUUUCCAGGCCAACCAUCAAAAGAUGGAAAUCUAUGUAGGGCAAGUCUCUAGGCUUGUCUCAAUCUUCACAAUCUGAAGCUGGCAAAGGGUAAAAUCGCAAAGAAGACAUAGAUCUCAAGAGGAAACACACAAAAAUAAGGUUCACAUCACAUAUACACUAAUAGCAUCCAAUGGAGAGUUACACGUACAUCAAGAUUCACACACAACAAAAGGAAAAGGUAAAUGAUGAGUUCUUCCCAAAUCUCUAAAAGAGAUGGGGUCUUUAGAGGUAGAUCUUCCCCAAUCCAAAGGAUAUGGAUGUCUUGAUUAACCACAAGGGUUUAUUCUCCUAGUGGAGGCCUUGAUCUCCAAAGGAGAUGAUAGAUGAGCAAAAGCCUCUCAAGUUUAGUCAAAAUGCUUUGGUAAAUAACCUGAGGAGAGGGGCGAAAUAUAUGGUCUAGGUGCAAAAGGGGUAUGGGCCUCAACCCGAAAUAGUGGAUAGACCAAGAUACUAGAUAGUCUGGUCGAGAUCUACCGGUCUGUUCGGUAGUGUAUUUCUCUUGAAGCUUCAGCGUGGGACCGGAUAGUCUGGUUGGUUCUGGCGAGACAGUCUAGUUAGUCAGAGAGAUUCGUUUGCGAUUCCAGUGUCGUUCGGACAGUCCCAUUCCGUUAACCAUACAAUCUGGUCCCUUCGACCAAACAGUCUGUUGACACCAGAAGAUUUUGCCUGAAGUGUUUCUAGCAGCCGAACUAUCUGGUCAGAGGGCUAGACUAUCCGGUAGUGCAAAUUUGCUCAUUGUCUCCCUUCCAUACACGCGAGACAAGGUUACUACCUAAUACGGACAUGCUAUGUGUAAUUAGGUAUCAAGAAGAUGGCCAGGAGAAGCUAGGAGUAAUGGGCAAGGUGGCGUAGAUGCGGAGCAAGAUAAUCAAUAAGGAAAGCUACAACCACCAGAUGUCCGGUAGGACCACAGACGCCCGAUGUAGCGUGAGGAGGACCUCAAAGGAAAACAACUCACAAAUCAACUCUACAGUGGCCGGACAUCUGACGCGUCCCGAGCCACCGGACAUCCGCUCCUUACUAGAAAUCCGACAAUGAUUAUCGAGAAGGCAAAUGGCGAAUAUUACCAGAUGUCCGACGUCUGACGUCCUCCAGACAUCCGGCGUCACUAGAGCCACCGGACAUCCGGUAACUUGCGCGCACAAACUUGGGCCUCGACCUUGUAUCUAUCACGACCCGGUCCCUGAAUGGGGCCUCAAUCUCUGUGCUUAUUGUGUCAGUCCCUGGAUCAAUAGCUGACACGCACAAUUGACGAUGAAAUACGGAGAAUACAUCAUGUAUCAAGUAUUACAUCACAGAUAUAGUGUUUUACAAUAUGUACCUGCUUGGCUCAUGGGCUACCUUACAAUAUAAUCAUGCAGCGGAGAUUUCAUUCUAGUCUUGUGGCGUCAAUGCACUCACACGCAAAAGUUGAGUAUAGCAUUGUAACCCUACUUCUUACCUUCCACUCGAGACCGUAAACCUGCAACAUGAUAUGCUGCAGCCACAAGGGUCAAUACAUCAAAUGUAUUGGCAAGCUUCACCAGGAUUAGCUUAUUGGAAAAGUAAACAUGCAACUGGUGCGGCUAGUUUUCUUUUGUGCAAAAAUAGUUUCCCUAUCUUGUAUAGUAGUGGUCUACUCUAAUAGCAAUACGACACUUCCGAUAAACCUCAGCCGUAAUCUAUAGGCACUCCCGGUAAACCCUUGUCGUAGCACAAAGAAUUUGAGCAUGUGGGCUCUGUGGUAAACCCUGGUUACCCCAACCUUCCUAGAAGAAUCUUCUAGUAAGCCAAGGGAUCCUGGGUUGGUCCACACUCCCUGUUGGUUCAACCCAUUGAUUCAAAUUAAAGAAGAGGCGAUGAGAUCACCCUGAUAGCUCUCAGGUGAGUUGCUCAAAUUUGUCCAUAACCGGGGACACGAUAAUCAUGAUAAGUUUUAUACACUCUGCAGAGGUUUGUGUACUUUACUUGUGAUUUUCUGAUCACACCCUUAAGCCACUAAACUUCACUUGUGAAGUAGCCCGGUAGACCAAGACAAGACUUUUGGGAAGUAGUAGCCUCUCUGAAAAGGUAUACCUAGUCCGGGGGUCCUACUGCAUGAACUACAUUUGUUGGUCUACCGCAGGAGGUUUCCCACAACUUACUUGGUCCAGACAGAGCCCAUAUUGUCUCACUGUUACACAAGGAAGCUACUCAACUUUGAACUCGUACAAUCCCUUUGAGCCUGGGCGAUCGCCCACAAAACAUUCAUCCAUCCAAGCAAAUCCAAAGCACCGCCCAGAUAAUUCAUUAAUUAAGUAGUAGUUAAGUAGUUGCUACUUCUUGAGUUUGCGUUGGUUUUUUCCUUGAAGAGGAAAUGGUGAUGCAGCAAAGUAGAGAUAAGUAUUUUCCUCAGUUAAGAACCAAGGUAUCAAUCCAUUAGGAGGAACACACAAGCCUCCAAUGAUUGCACCUGCACAAUCAAACAAAUACUUGCACCCAACGCGAUAAAGGGGUUGUCAAUCCCUUCACGGUUACUUGCAAGGAUGAGAUCUAGUAAUGAUAGUUAUACAACAUAAGUAAAAGUGCUAAAUAAAAUAAAAGUAAAUAAAUUGCAGCAAGAUAUUUUUGUGUUUUUGAUUUUGUAGAUCUAAAAAUAACAUGAUAAAAGAUAGACCCAGGGGCCACAAUUUUCACUAGAGGCUUCUCUCUUGAAAGAAAACAUACGGUGGGUAAACAAAUUACUGUUGAGCAAUUGGUAGAAAAGUGCAUAGUUAUGAAGAUAUCGAAGGCAAUGAUCAUGUAUAUGGGCAUCACGUCCGAGACAAGUAGUCCGACUUCUGCCUGCAUCUACUACUACUACUCCACACAUCGAACGGAGUAAUGCCUUAAGCAAGAUGAUAUGAUGUAGAGGGAUAGAUCCAAUCAAUAUGAACAAACCCCAUCUUUUUAUCCUCAAUGACAACAAUACAAAUACGUGUUAUGUCCCUUUCUGUCACUGGGACUGAGCACCGCAAGAUUGAACCCAUUACAAAGCACCUCUCUUAUUGCAAGAAAAAUCAAUCUAGUUGGCCAAACCAAAUCAAUAGAUCGGAGAGAAAUACAAAGCUAUAUAAAUCAUGCAUAAAAGAGUUUAGAGACGACUUAAAUAAUAUUCAUAGAUAAUCUGAUCAUAAACCCACAGUUCAUCGAAUCUCAAUAAACACACCGCAAAAGAAGAUUACAGCAAAUAGAUCUCCAAGAACAUCGAGGAGAACAUUGUAUUGAAGAUCAAAGAGAGAGAAGAAGCCAUCUAGGUACUAGCUAUGGACCCGUAGGUCUGUGGUAAACUACUCACACAUCAUCGGUAGAGCAGCAAGGUUGGUGUAAAAGCCCUCCGUGAUCAAAUCCCCCUCCGGCAGAGUACCAUAAAAGGUCUCCAGAUGGGAUCUCACGAAGACAGAAACUUGCGGCAGCUAAAAAGUAUUUUUGGUGUGCCCUCUAGUCUUUGGGGAAUAUUUGGGUAUUUAUAGAAGAAUAAUUAGGGUUAGAGGAGCCACGGGGGCCCCACAAGCUUGGGGUGCCCACCCUGGGGCAUGUCCCCUGAGCUUGUCGCCGCCUCGUGGCCCUUCUCGCCUCCUCCCGAAGCUUCUAGGGUGUCUUGUGGUCCAAGAGAAAUCAUCAAAAAGUUUCGUUCCAUUUGGACUCUAUUUGGUAUUGAUUUUCUGUAAAGACAAAAACAAGGGGAAAACAACAACUCGCACUAGGCACUAGGUUAACAUGUUAGUCCCAAAAAAUGAUAUAAAAUAGCAUAAUAAUGCAUAUAAAACAUCCAAGAUUGAUAACAUAAUAGCAUGGAACAAUAAAAAAUUAUAGAUACGUUGGAGAUGUAUCAAGCACCCCCAAGCUUAAUUCCUGCCGUCCUCGAGUAGGUAAAUGAUAAAAACAGAAUUUUUGAUGUGGAAUGCUACCUAACAUGUUUAUCAGGUAAUCUUUCUUUACAUGGUAUGAAUAUUCGGAUCCAUAAGAUUCAAAACAAAAUAUUAAUAUUGACAUAAAAACAAUAAUACUUCAAGCAUACUAAAAAGCAAUCAUGUCUUUUCAAAAUAUCAUGGCUAAAGAAACUUAUCCCUACAAAAUCAUUUAGUCUUGUCAUGAUCCAUCUCCUUAACACCAAGUAUUUAUCAUGCACAACCCCGAAGACAAGCCGAGAAAUUGGUUCAUACUUUUUAAUGUGCUUCAACUUUUUCAACUCUCAUGCAGUACAUGAGCGUGAGCCAUGGAUAUAGCACUAUGGGUGGAAUAGAAUAUGAUGUUGGAGGUUGUGUGGAGAAGACAAAAAUAAGAAAAUCCCACAUUGACGAGGCUAAUCAAUGGGCUAUGGAGAUGCCCAUCAAUUGAUAUCAAUGCAAGGAGUAGGCAUUGCCAUGCAACAGAUGCAUUAGAGCUAUAAGUGUAUGAAAGCUAAAAAAACUAAAUGGGUGAGCAUCCAACUUGCUUGCUCAUGAAGACCACAAGCAUUUGUGGAAGCCCAUCAUGGGAAUAUAGAAGCCAAGUUCUAAUAAUGAAAAAUUCCCACUAGUAAUAUAUGAAAGUGACAAAAUAGGGGACUCUCUAUCAUUAAGAAAAUGGUGCUACUGUAAAGCACAAGUGUGGAAAAGGAUAGUAACAUUGUCCCUUCUCUCUUUUUUCUCUCAUUUUUUCCUUUUUUCCCUCUUUUUUUGUUGGGCACUUUGGACUCUUUUUUCUUGGGCUCAUUUGGCCUCCUUUUUUUUCGUCUGGAGUCUCAUCCCGACUUGUGGGGGAAUCAUAGUCUCCAUCAUCCUUUCCUCACAUGGGACAAUGCUCUAAUAAUGAUGAUUGUUGGGGAUAUAACUAUUAGGUAUGACCCGCCCAGUUGGGGCCGGGUUAUAUCUAUGGUGAUUCAUGAUAUGAAGCCUACAAGGAUAUUGAAGAUGGUGGUUCAUAGGCAAGGGCCCAAGGCCCAAGGGCGACUUAAGGCCCGUAGAAGUAAACCGCCAUAUGUAUAAGACUUGUAUUGUAAGGCAUGUGUAGUCACCGAGCCGGACACGUUGUCAAUGAGCCGGUCGGGACUCCGUGAGCCGCUGGGCGUCAACUUGUGUAUAUAAAGGGAUGACCCGGCGGCGGUUCAAGGCAAGAAACAACAGAUCGAAAGCUAGGUCAAGCGGAUUCGCUCCCUGGUAAUCGAGACAUAAGCAAUACCACCUCAAACUGGAUUAGGCCUUUACCUUCACCGCAAGGGGCCGAACUAGUAUAAAGUCUUGUGUCCUUUGUCCCAUUUAACCCCUUUAGGAUAACCUAGUUGCGAUGGCUCCAUGACUAAGACCUCACACUAGGACAUCUGCCGUGACUAUUCCACGACAGUUGGCGCCCACCGUGGGGCCAGCGCAUGGUGGUUUCGAGUUCUUAAAGGGCAGCUUCGAAGGGAUCAAGGGAUACGCUGUGGGCCGGAUGACUAAGAUUCAUCGCGGCAAGCUCUACAUCGAUGAUGCAGGCUGGGGACCCGAGGCCGGCUCAAUUGAGUACGGGUACCGGGUCCCCUUCGGCCAAAUCCACGCCUUCAUCAGCAAGAUCGGCAAGCCGAGCCCUGAGCCGGACAUCUGCACUAACAUCAUCGAGACGGCUCAGCGUGCAAGAAUCGCCCGAGCUCAGCUCGCCGUGAAACAUGCCUUCGUGGGAUUCAUCCAUGGAGGGGAAUUUGAUGAAGGAUCUAUGUCUGGCGGUGAGACGGCCAUCUACUCUGAUGGUGAGUCAUCCACAUGCGAGACUACUUCAUUGUAUCAACUGCAAGAUGGUAGGCUUGGGGGCUAUUCCGAUGGCGACAGUAUUCUGGACCCCCAUGAGCCGCCGAACAGGGUCGGGAUCUUCAUGGCCGGUACAUAGCCUGGUCAGAACUCUUCAACUGCAGCGGCAAUGAUCUCUGAGUCAGCAAUAACAAUGACGGCCGGGGCAGGAGGCCCUAUGCGCCCGCCGGCUCAGGUUUUAACGGAUUUAAUGGAUAAACUGAUAGAUCUGUUGAUAGUAGAGGUCAACCCGUCAAAUCAAGCUCAGCAUAAUGCGGAGAUUGCAAAGUUACAAUGAAGUAGCACUAGCCAAGGAAGACAUGGCGGCAGCAGAGCGGGCUGCUCUGGAUGCUCAGGCCCAGCGGAUUCAGUCAGAGGCUUUCUGGCUUACGAUGUAUCAAUACGCUUCAAAUGAAAUCAUGAGGAGGAGGCACAAGUCUCAUCUACCUCCGGUUUACGAGGCGAGAAACCUCUUUUGCAUGCUUGGAGCAGGGACCAGUAACCCGCCGCAGACAAACCGGGUUGCAACACCUGGGGCCGGAAGGCCGGUUCGGCCACGCGUGACGGAGCCACCUCGUUUGAAUAAUACUCCGCCUCAGCAUGUUCCAACACCACUGGGUCAUUAUUCCAACCCUUUGGAUAACAUGAUCAUUGCGGCGACAUGACUGGUGGCUCUCCCAGUAGAUGGCGACUCUACAGCGGCGGUUGAAACACGAAGGGCUAGGGAGCUUCUUCAAACUGCAUUGGUGCAGCAGGAUGCAUGUUCUUACAGUCAGGAUAGGGUUCAUUCGACCCCUCUCCCAAGAUGGAGUUAUAGUAGGCAAAUGGAUUCACCGGCCGUUUUAAGCAAUGAACAGCACCGUAACCAGCCACGUGGGUGAUAACCCACAAGUAUAGGGGAUCGGAACAAUUUUUGAGGGUAGAGUAUUCAACCCAAUUUUAUUGAUUCGACACAAGGGGAGCCAAAGAAUAUUCUCAAGUAUUAGCAGUUGAGUUUUCAAUUCAACCACACCUGGAUAACUUAAUAUCUGCAACAAAGUAUUUAGUAGCAAAGUAGUAUGGAAGUAACGGUAAUGAUCGCAAAAGUAAGAGUAGCAGUUUUGUAGUAAUUGUAAUAGUGGCAACGAUAAAGUAACGAAGCAAAGAGCAAUAUGUGAAAAGCUCAUAGGCAUUGGAUCUGUGAUGGAUAAUUAUGUCGGAUGCGAUUCCUCAUGCAACAGUUAUAACAUAGGGUGACACAGAACUAGCUCCACUUCAUCAAUGUAAUGUAGGCAUGUAUUCCGAAUGUAGUCAUACGUGCUUAUGGAAAAGAACUUGCAUGACAUCUUUUGUCCUACCCUCCCGUGGCAGCGGGGUCCUAUUGGAAACUAAGGGAUAUCAAGGCCUCCUUUUAAUAGAGUACCGGAUCAAAGCAUUAACACUUAGUGAAUACAUGAACUCCUCAAACUACGGUCAUCACCGAGACUGGUCCCGAUUAUUGUUUCUUCGGGGUUGUCGGAUCAUAACACAUAAUAGGUGACUAUAGACUUGCAAGAUAGGAUCAAGAACUCACAUAUAUUCAUGAAAAACAUAAUAGGUUCAGAUCUGAAAUCAUGGCACUCGGGCUCUAGCGACAAGCAUUAAGCAUAGGAAAGUCAUAGCAACAUCAAUCUCAGAACAUAAUGGAUACUUGGGAUCAAACCCUAACAAAACUAACUCGAUUACAUGGUAAAUCUCAUCCAACCCAUCACCAUCCAGCAAGCCUAUGAUGGAAUUACUCACGCGCGGCGGUGAGCAUCGUGAAAUUGGUGAUGGAGGAUGGUUGAUGAUGACGACGGUGAUGGAUUCCCCUCUCCGGAGCCCCGAACGGACUCCAGAUCGGCCCUAUCAAGUGAGAUUAGGGCUUGGCGGCGGCUCCGUAUUGUAAAAUGCGAUGAAUCCUUCUCUCUGAUUUUUUUCUCCCCGAACGUGAAUAUAUAGAGUUGGAGUUGAGGUCGGUGGAGCACAAGGGGGCCCACGAGGUAGGGAGGCGCGCCCAGGGGGGUACGUCGCACCCCCCACCCUCGUGGACAGGGUGUGGGCCCCCUGGCCUUGAUUCUUUUGCUAGUAUUUUUUAUUAAUUCCAAAAAUAUUCUCCGUGGAGUUUCAGGUCAUUCCGAGAACUUUUAUUUCUGCACAAAAAUAACACCAUGGCAAUUCUACUGAAAACAGCGUCAGUCCGGGUUAGUUCCAUUCAAAUCAUGGAAGUUAGAUUCCAAAACAAGGGCAACAGUGUUUGGAAAAGUAGAUAUGAUGGAGACGUAUCAACUCCCCCAGGCUUAAACCUUUACUUGUCCUCAAGCAAUUCAGUUGAUAAACUGAAAGUGAUAAAGAAGAACUUUUACAAACUCUGUUUUCUCUUGUUGUAGUAAAUAUGUAAAGCCAACAUUCAAGUUUUCAACAAAGCUUAUGAACUAACCAUAUUCACAAUAACACUUAGGUCUCAUGUUUACUCAUAUGAAUGGCAUAAUCAACUAGCGAGCAAUAAUAAUAAAACUCAGAUGACAAAACUUUCUCAAAACAACCAUAAUAUGACAUAACAAGAUGGUAUCUCGCUAGACCUUUCUGAGACCGCAAAACAUAAAUGCAGAGCACCUCUAAAGAUUAAGGACUGACUAAACAUUGUAAUUCAUGGUAAAAGAGAUCUAGUCAUAGUCAUCCUCAAUAUAAAUUAAUAGUAAUGCAUGCAAAUGACAGCGGUGCUCUCCAACUAGUGCUUUUUUAAUAAGAGGAUGAUGACUCAACAUAAAAGUAAAUAGAUAGGCCCUUCACAGAGGGAAGCAGGGAUUUUUAGAGGUGCUAGAGCUCCAUUUUGAAAUAGAGAUAAAUAAUAUUUUGAGCGGCAUACUUUCAUUGUCAACAUAACAACCAAGAGAUCUCGAUAUCUUCCAUGCUACACACAUUAUAGGCGAUUCCCAAAUAGAAUGGUAAAGUUUAUACUCCCCCACCACCAACAAUCAUCAAUCCAUGGCUUGCCCGAAACAAUGGGUGCCUCCAACUAACAACAAUCCUGGGGGAGUUUAUUUGAGCAUAGGACUGGGCAUCCUGGUGACCAACCAUUUUCUCGUGAGUGAGGAGCGGAGUCCACUCCUCUUGAGAAUAACCUGCCUAGCAUGGAAGAUAUAGACAUCCCUAGUUGACACAUGAGUUGUUCGAGCAUACAAAACAGAAUUUCAUUUGAAGGUUUGGAGUUUGGCACAUACAAAUUUACUUGGAACGGUAGGUAGAUACUGCAUAUAGGAAGGUAUGUUGGGCACAUAUGGGAUAACUUUGGGGUUUAUGGAAGUGGAUGCACAAGCAGUAUUCCCGCUUAGUACAAGUGAAGGCUAGAAAAAGACUGGGAAGUGACCAACUAGAGAGCGACAACAAUCAUGAACAUGCAUUAAAAUUAAUAGACAUUGAGUGCAAGCAUGAGUAGGAUAUAAUCCACCAUGAACAUAAAUAUCGUGGAGGCUAUGUGGAUUUUGUUUCAACUACAUGCGUGAACAUGUGCCAAGUCAAGUCACUCGAAUCGUUCAAAGGAGGAUACCACCCUAUCAUACCACAUCACAACCAUUUAAAUAGCAUGUUGGCAUGCAAGGUAAACCAUUAUAAACUCCUAGCUAAUUAAGCAUGGCAUAAGCAACUAUAAUCUCUAAUUGUCAUUGCAAACAUGUUUAUUCAUAAUAGGCUGAAUCAGGAACGAUGAACUAAUCAUAUUUACAAAAACAAGAUAGGUCGAGUUCAUACCAACUUCUCUAAUCUUAAUCAUUUCAUCAUAUAUCGUCAUUAUUGCCUUUCACUUGCACGACUGAACGGUGUGAAUAAUAAUAAUAGUGCACGUGCAUUGGACUAAGCUGGAAUAUGCAAGCAUUCAAUUCAAGGGAGAAGACAAGGUAAUAUGGGCUCUUUUUUAAAUCAACAAUAAUGCAUGUAAGAGCCACUCAACAUUUUCAUCAUGGUCUUCUCCUCUCGACCCCCAAAGAAAAGAAAAGAAAUAAAACUAUUUACACGGGAAAGCUCCCAACAAGCAAAAGAAGAACGAGAAAUCUUUUUGAGUUUUCAUUUAAUUACUACUACUACAUGCAUGGAAAGUAAACUAGCUAAAAGUUAUAACUAUUUUUUUGGUUUUUUUAAGGUUUUUCAAACACACUAGAAGAAGACUUAGAAAAGAAAAUAAACUAGCAUGGAUAGUACAAUGAAAGAGUAUGAGCACCGACAACUAGAAUGAGUGUGUGAACAUGAAUGUAAUGUCGGUGAGAAAUACGCACUCCCCAAAACUUAGGCUUUUGUCCUAAGUUGGUCUAUGCCCAUGGGUGAAAGUUAUAGCUGGGGUCAUACUGAUAUGCAACAGCUAUUGCCUCAUGAGCUGCAGCUUGGAGCCAAGCUACCUCCGUCCUCCUCUCGUACUCGUUCGCCUCCUCCCUGGUUAUAAUAUAUCUCCUUUCUUUCCUGAAAAUCAAAGAAACCAGGAGCAAGGAAAGCAACACGGACAGUGCGACGUCUAUCAAAGAUUAGUCGGUAUUGGAGGAACUGUCCAUUCCUCUCAACAAACUGAUGACGAACCAUGGCAUCCUAAUCUAGAUAAGCGGGAAGCAACUCCAUAUCAUUUUCAUGUAUGGGUAUCUCAAGAAAAUUAGCCACACGGGUUGCAUAAAUCCCACCAAACAAGUCUCCAUUUAAACUAUUAUUAUGCAACCUACGUGCAACAAUGGCCCCCAAGUUAUAUUAUUUAUCUCCUAGCACAGCACUCUUGAGAACACUAAGAUCAGGAACACACAUGUGACGUGCCUCGUCCUUACCAUUUAUGCAUCUACCUAUAAAGAGAGCAAAAUAAUUUAUAGCAGGAAAAUGAAUGCUCCCUAUGGUAGCUUGUGCUAUUUCUCUAGAUUCCCCCACAGUGAUACUAGCAAGAAAAUUUUUAAAUUCAGAUUUGCGAGGUUCACUAGCACUACCCCAUUGCGGGAGUUUACAAGCAGUAUUAAAAUCUUCUAGGUCCAUGGUAUAAGAUUUAUCAUAAAGAUCAAAUAGGACAGUGUGAGAAUUGUGUGAAGAUGUAAAUUUGAACCUUCUCACAAAGGAAUCAGUUAAGUGGUAAUAUUGAGGCCACUUAUCUAGCAUGAAGCCCUCGAGUUCAGCAUUACGCACAUAUGCGUCCAAUUCCUCCUUAAUUCCUGCUUGGACCAUGAAAUCUUCUGACGGCCAUUCACAAGGUCGCACUUGAGCUUCCCUCGGUGGUUCAUCGUCCUGCUCACGUAUUGCGGGCCUCGGUCCUUGCUUCCUUGAAGAACCACCUUGGUACAUUUUCCUAAACAUAUUUCUUCCUCUGAAAAAUUUCUGAAAAUUUCAGUAACUCAAAAUAAAAGUGAACCAAACUCAACAAAAUUGAUAGCAACUACUCCCACAAGUGCCUAGAGACUAUAUCAUGCAUUAGAAGUACCUGGGACCAAAUAAAUUUGACAUGCAAGCUCAAGAACAGGGCCACCUUAGUAGCAAAAAUUUGCAAUGAAUAAAGCACUAGAACAAAAACUAAUUGGACCAUUGGAGGAGUCACAUACCAAAGAACAAUCCCUGAAAGCAGUUUUGUGAGUGGAGCUUUGAGCAAGGAGAUCGAAAAUGGCAGCAAGAUGAGCUAGAACUCGUGCUUGAGCUGGUUGGUGAUUUUUUUGGGAGGAAGGAGUGUGUGGGUGCAGGAAUAAGUGGAGGGGGGCACCAGGGGCCCACGAGGCAGGGGGCAUGCCCUGGACCCUCGUGGCCAGGUGGUUGCCCCCUCUGGUGUGUUCUCAGUGCCAAAUAUUCUCAAAUAUUCUAGAAAAAAUCAUAUUUCAUUUUCAGGGCAUUUGGAGAACUUUUAUUUUCGGGGUAUUUUUUUAUUGCAAGGAUAAUUCAGAAAACAGACAUAUAAUACUAUUUUUUGCUUUAUUUAAUCUAUAUAACAGAAAGUAAAAGGAGGGUACUGAGAGUUGUGCUUUCUAACUUCAUCCAUCUCAUGCUCAUCAAAAGGAAUCCACUAACAAGGUUGAUCAAGUCUUGUUAACAAACUCAUUCCGAAUUGGAUGAAACCGGAGAAUUUUCGAAUAGCACUAGGUUACCUCAACGGGGAUAUGUACAUCCCAAUAAUAAGAAUAUAAUAUUUCUUCUUGAAAGUAGGAAGAGGAAAUUCAAAACCUCCAAUAAUAAUCGAUGGAAUUUUUCCAACAGAAUUGAUACUGUGAACUUGAGGUUGUUUCCUCGGAAAGUGUACCGUAUGCUCAUUACCAUUAACAUGAAAAGUGACAUUGCCUUUGUUGCAAUCAAUAACAGCCCCUGCAGUAUUCAAACAGGGUCUACCAAGGAUAAUCGACAUACUAUCGUCCUCGGGAAUACCAAGAAUAACAAAGUCCGUUAUGAUAGUAACAUUUGCAACCACAAUAGGCACAUCCUCACAAAUACCGACAGGUAUAGCAGUUGAUUUAUCGGCCAUUUGCAAAGAUAUUUCAGUAGGUGUCAACUUAUUCAAUUCAAGUCUAUGAUAUAAAGAGAGAGGCUAACACUAACACCGGCUCAAGAUCACAUAAAGCAGUUUUAACAUAAUUUCUUUUAAAGGAGCAUGGUAUAGUUGGUACUCCCUGAUCUCCUAGUUUCUUAGGUAUUCCACCUUUAAAAGUAUAAUUAGCACGCAUGGUGGAAAUUUGAGCCUCUGGUAUCUUUCUUUUGUUUGUAACAAUAUCUUUCAUGUACUUAGAAUAAGGAUUUAUUUUAAGCAUAUCAGUCAAACGCAUACGCAAAAAGAUAGGUCUAAUCAUUUCGGCAAAGCGCUCAAAAUCCUCAUCAUCCUUUUUCUUGGAUGGUUUAGGAGGAAAACGCAUGGGUUUCUAAACCCAUGGUUCUCUUUCUUUACUGUGCUUCCUAGCAAUGAAGUCUCAUUUAUCAUAAUGUUGAUUCUUUGAUUGUGGGUUAUCAAGAUCAACAACAGGUUCAAUCUCUACAUCAUUAUUUCUAGGUUGAGCAUCAACAUGAACAUCAUCAUUAACAUUAUCACUAGGUUCAUGUUCAUCAGCAGAUUGUGUUUCAGCAUUAGAAAUAGAAAUAUCAUUGGGAUUCUCAGGUGUGUCUACAACAGGUUCACUAGAAGCAUGCAAAGUCCUAUCAUUUUUCUUUUUCUUCCUAUUAGAAGGACUAGGUGCAUCUACAUUAUUUCUCUGAGAAUCUUGCUCAAUCCUCUUAGGGUGGCCCUCAGGAUACAAAGGUUCCUGAGUCGUUUUACCCCGUCUAGUCAUAACUCUAACAUCAUUAUCAUUUUUCUUGUUAUUUAAUUCAUUGAGCAAAUCAUUUUGAGCUUUAAGCACUUGUUCAACUUGAGUGGUAACCAUAGAAGCAUGUUUACUAAUAAGUUUAAGUUCACCUUUAACUCUAGACAUAUAAUCACUCAAGUGUUUAACCAUAUAAGCAUUACGUUUCAAUUGUCUACCAACAUAAGCAUUGAAGUUUUCUUGUUUAGCCAUAAAGUUAUCAAACUCAUCCAAGAAUUGGCUAACAAACUUAGUAGACGGGAUUUCAACUUUAUCAUAUCUAUAGAGAGAAUUUACCUUUACUACCCGUGUCGGGUUAUCAAGACCAUGUACUUCUUCAAUAGGUGGUAAAUUAAGGCCAUGUAUUUCUUCAACAGGAGGUAAAUUCUUAAGAUCUUCAGUUUUAAUACCUUUUUCUUUCAUAGAUUUCUUUGCCUCUUGCAUAUCUUCAGGACUGAGAAAUAGAACACCUCUUUUCUUCGAAGUUGGUUCAAGAAGCGUCCAAUUGUUUUCAUUAGUCAACAUAUUAUUCAAUAGCAAUUCAGCUUGAUCGACUGUUCUUUACCUGAAAACACAACCAGCACAACUAUCCAGGUGGUCUCUGGAAGCAUCGGUUAGUCCAUUAUAAAAGAUAUCAAGUAUUUCAUUUUUCUUGAGAGGAUGAUCAGGAAAAGCAUUAAGUAAUUGGAGAAGCCUCCCCCAAGCUUGUGGGAGACUCUCUUCUUCAAUUUGCACAAAAUUAUAUAUUUCCCUUAAAGCAGCUUGUUUCUUAUGAGCGGGGAAAUAUUUAGUAGAAAAGUAAUAAAUCAUAUCCUGGGGACUACACACACAACCAGGAUCAAGAGAGUUAAACCAUAUUUUAACAUCACCCUUUAAUGAGAACAGAAAUAAUUUAAGAAUAUAGUAGUAACAAUUUUUCUCAUCAUUAGUGAAUAGGGUGGCUAUAUCAUUUAACUUAGUAAGAUGUGCCACAACAGUUUCAGAUUCAUACCCAUAAAAGGGAUCAGAUUCAACCAAAGUAAUUAUCUCAGGAUCAACAGAGAAAUCAUAAUCCUUAUCACUAACACAGAUAGGUGAAGUAGCAAAAGCAGGGUCAUAUUUCAUCCAAGCAUUCAAAGACUUUACUUUCAGCUUAGAUAAUAAUUUCUUAAGAUCAGAUCUAUCAUUGCAAGCAAGAAAAUCUCUAGCGGUUUCUUCAUCCAUAACAUAACCCUCAGGCACAACAUAUAAUUCAUAUCUAGGGGGGAGAAUCUUCAUCAUCAGUUUCAUCAAUAUUAUCAGUUUCAAUCAUUUCAUUCUCUCUAGCCCUAGCAAGUUGUUUAUCAAGAAAUUCACCUAAUGGCACAGUAGUAUCAAGCAUAGAAGUAGUUACAUCAUAAGUGUCAUGCAUAGCAGAAGUGACAUCAUCAAUAACAUGCGACAUAUAAGAAUUAAUGGCAGAAGCAGGUUUAGGUGUCGCAAGUUUACUCAAAACAGAUGGUGAAUCAAGUGCAGAGCUAGAUGGCAAUUCCUUACCUUCCCUCGUAGUUGCGGGAUAAAUCUUGGUUUUCUCGUCUUUCAAGUUCCUCAUAGUGAUCCGCAGAUAUAAAUCCCAAGUGACUCAAAGAAUAGAGCUAUGCUCCCCGGCAACGGCGCCAGAAAAUAAUGUUGAUAACCCACAAGCAUAGGGGAUCGCAAUAGUUUUUGAGGGUAGAGUAUUCAAGCCAAAUUUAUUGAUUCGACACAAGGGGAGCCAAAGAAUAUUCUCAAGUAUUAGCAGUUGAGUUGUCAAUUCAACCACACCUGGAUAACUUAAUAUAUGCAGCAAAGUAUUUAGUAGCAAAGUAGUAUGGAAGUAACGGUAACAGUAGCAAAAGUAACAUUAGCAGUUUUGUAGUAAUUGUAACAGUGGAAAUGGUAAAGUUACUAAGCAAAGAGCAAUAUGUGAAAAGAUUGUAGGCAUUGGAUCAGUGAUGGAUAAUUAUGUCGGAUGCGAUUCCUCAUGCAACAGUUAUAACAAAGGGUGACACAGAACUAGCUCCAGUUCAUCAAUAUAAUGUAGGCAUGUAUUCCGAAUAUAGUCAUACGUGCUUAUGGAAAAGAACUUGGAUGACAUCUUUUGUCCUACCCUCCCGUGGUAGCGGGGUCCUAUUGGAAACUAAGGGAUAUUAAGGCCUCCUUUUAAUAGAGUACUGAACCAAAGCAUUAACACUUAGUGAAUACAUGAACUCCUCAAACUACGGUCAUCAGCGAGAGUGGUCCUGAUUAUUGUUACUUCGAGCUUGUCGUAUCGUAACACAUAAUAGGUGACUAUAGACUUGCAAGACAGGAUCAAGAACUCACAUAUAUUCAUGAAAACAUAAUAGGUUCAGAUCUGAAAUCGUGGCACUCGGGCCCUAGUGACAAGCAUUAAGCAUAGCAAAGUCAUAGCAACAUCAAUCCCAGAACAUAAUGGAUACUAGGGAUCAAACCCUAACAAAACUAACUCGAUUACAUGGUAAAUCUCAUCCAACCCAUCACCGUCCAGCAAGCCUACUAUGGAAUUACUCACGCACGGCAGUGAGCAUCAUGAAAUUGGUGAUGGAGGAUGGUUGAUGAUGACGAUGGCGACGGAUUCCCCUCUCCGGAGCCCCGAACGGACUCCAGAUCAGCCCUCCCGAGAGAGAUUAGGGCUUGGCGGCGGCUCCGUAUCGUAAAACGUGAUGAAUCCUUCUCUCUGAUUUUUUUUCUCCCUGAACGUGAAUAUAUAGAGUUGGAGUUGUGGUCGGUGGAGCACCAGGGGGCCCACGAGGCAGGGAGGCACGCCCAGGGGGGUAGGGCGUGCCCCCACCCUCGUGGGCAGGGUGUGGGGCCCAUGGCCUUGAUUCUUUGGCCAGUAUUUUUUAUUAAUUCCAAAAAUAUUCUCGGUGGAGUUUCAGGUCAUUCCGAGAACUUUUAUUUCUGCACAAAAAUAACACCAUGGCAAUUCUGCUGAAAAUAGCGUUAGUCCGGGUUAGUUCCAUUCAAAUCAUGCAAGUUAGAGUUCAAAACAAGGGCAAAAGUAUUUGGAAAAGUAGAUACGAUGGAGACGUAUCAGUGGGCAGGACCCGACACAUGAUGGAUCUCAUGACUUGGUCGAUCAGGACAGAGUGCGUCAGGAGGCUGAGUAGGCGGCUCAGCGGGCGGCUCACCAGCCCCUUCCGAUUUAUCCAACGGCUUCACUGGAGGCAAGUGUGACCUCUAGAACUACAGGUGUACCCUGUUUGGUGCCGGCUCUGCGUAAUGAGCAUUUGCCCAAGGAUUUCAAAGGAUCUCGUAAGGUGCCUAACUACACAGCCGACUUACCCCCUGAGGCGUGUAUUGAGAGUUAUGAGAUGGCCAUGGAACUGUUGGAGGUCAGCGAUGCCGCAUGUGCUAAAUACUUCACCAUGAUGCUGGAUGGGACGGCCCGUACUUGGUUAAAAGGGCUGCCUGCCAACUCCAUCGUGUCAUGGGGAGAACUGAAGGCCCGAUUUAUCCAGAACUUUAAAGACACAUGCAAACAUCCCAUGUCGAUUGUGGAUUUAUCUGCUUGCACCCAAGAGGAGGGUGAAUCAAUGACCCAUUGGGUGCGCCGGGUCAAGGCUAUUAUACACUCAUCUGAUAACAUCCAUGCCGGCUCUGCAGUCUUGAUGUUGGAGAAAAAAUGCCGUUUUUUUGCCUCUUAAGCAGAAACUAGGGCAGCUCAAGCGUGAUUGCAAUGAUAUGGGGCACCUGAUGGCGGCUCUAAUUAAAUAUGCCGACUUUGAUGGUACCAAGGACCCCGAGUCUGAUGAUGAAAAGACGGGAAAGGGAAAGAAGAGUGGCAACGCUAAGGGUCCCCAGCAUAACCCGGUGAGUCAGGGGGUAACGACAAGCGCAACGCUGAUGGUAACUCGGAUUUUGUAGCUAAUACCAAUACGCAGAACAAUGAUCAGCGUUCUAAGGGGAGGCCGCCUCCUCAGACAGGUGGAUCAGGUCCCACUCUUGCGCAGUUGCUGAAUGAGCCCUGCCCAAAGCAUGGUACAAAGGGGAGGUCAUCCACUCACCUUUGGAAAGAUUGUAAAAUCAUGAGGGCUUUCAAAAAUUCUAAUUUAUUCUACAACAACCAUGGGCCGGGCGGCGGCUCAGGUUCUGGUGGCAGCGGUUUUCAUGGCCCGGGUUAUGGAGCUGGCGGUUCUAAUCCCGGCUUCCAGGGUCACCAAAACCAUCAAGGUAAUCAGGGUAGUUACAGUCAAGGUAAUUAGGAUAAUUACAAUCAACAAUCCAGUCAAGGGCCUAUUGGUUGCGGUUGACAAAUUCACAAAGUGGGUCGAAGCAAAGCCGGUCAGUAGGUGUGACAUAGCAACGAUGAUUCAAUUCAUCAAAAAGGUGAUUUUUCGCUUUGGCUUUCCCCACAGCAUCAUAACUAAUAAUGGCACAAAUCUGUCUAAAGGUGUUAUGAAAGAUUUUUGUCAACAUGAGCAUAUUCGACUUGAUGUAUCGUUAGUGGCUCAUCCUCAAUCCAAUGGUCAAGCCGAAAGAGCCAAUCAAGAAAUUUUGAGAGGUAUCAAACCCCGGCUUAUGGUUCCUUUGUAGAGGACGUUGUUUUGUUGGGUGGAGGAGUUACCUUUAGUGCUAUGGAGUAUCAAUACUACCCCCAACAGAUCUACGGGUUACACACCUUUCUUCAUGGUUUACGGAGCAGAGGCGGUUCUCCCUAGUGACAUCCGUCACGACUCACCCCGCAUGGCGGCUUAUGUUGAAGUUGAUAAUGAACAAGCACAUCAGGACGCGCUUGACCUUGCCGUAAAGGUCCCUAGUGUAGGGUUCGUAAGCUUGCUUCUCUAUUGGGAAGUUGGACCACAGAUCAAUCUCAAGGUGUUGUGUCCUGUAAUCAUUGCAGCCUUCCUUGGCAAGGAUGUGGUUCUAAAUUUUUUAAUAUUGCUUGACGAAGUUCAGCACCGAGUUGUGUGGGUUCACAUAUCUUUUUAGAACGGUGUUGAACCCCUCACUACACUGUGUAGACUGCAGGAAGGGGAAGAACCUAUGUUUGAAGUAGCACGGCACCCAAGUUGACCUGUAUUCGUACAACUUGUCAAAGUGUGUGUGUGUCAUAUCCUCGUACUUCAUCAUUAACCCAACCCAAUUCUGUUCAAACUCGUCUGGAGUGAAGCUAAAGUCAACACUGUUGUUGAAAUCAUCAGAGAGCCCUGGAUUCCGGCACAACAACCAAUCAACCUUUUCCUGUGCCUUCUUCCUGAUGUGCCAUCGACAACAUCGAUGCACGGUGGUUGGAAAGAUGCUCUGUAUUGACUGCCUCAUUGCACCAUCCUGAUUGGUUAUGAAGUUGUCAGGAGGUUUGCCACCCAUAGCCUCUAGGAAUGCUUGGAAGACCCAAUCAAAGCUCGAUGCCAACUCCUACCUCACAAACGCGCAACCAAGCAUGAAAGAUUGGCCAUGUCAGUUUAUUCCAAUGAAGGGUGCGAACGGCAUAUUAUACAUGUUGGUCAUGUAGGUAGUGUCAAACGAUAUGCAAUCGUGGUACGCCUCAGCAUAACCUUUUCGAGCUAAGCCAUCCACCCAAAAUAUGUUGACAACUCUGUCCUCUUCAUCAUAUUUUACCUUAUAGAAGAAGUCUGGAUCGGUUUUCUGUAUAUCCUUGAAGUCCACUAUUGUUUCAAUCAUGUCACCCUCCUUUGUGUCAUCUCUACGGAAACUUGUACGCAGAUUUGUUAUUGCCUUUGGUCCGAACGGCACCAUCAUCUCAGAUCCGUAGAACUCUGCCAUUAUAUGCGUCAUAGGUCCUGCAUAAUACAAAAAGAAAACAAUAUAUCCUUUUUUAGUCGCACGAAUGCACAAAUCCAGAUGCACAGUAAUAGGACGUGUGUUGGCACAGAAGAUAGUUGCAGGAAAUGGACACCUAGAUGCACCUUUUUAAAAACACUUUACACUUUGCAUACAUGACAUUGUGUAGUUGCACACUGAAGGUAAUCUUGUUGCACAACAAGCACCAAAGUGAUAUAGAAACAGCAUGGGAAGUUGGACACCGGUUGCACAGUUAAGACAUUUCAGUUGCAUAGGAGUACCAUAAUAGUUGCACACUGGACUGCCUAGAGGGAAACUUAAUUCUGUAAGGGAUAUAGAAACACACCUGUAGUCAAGUUGCAGUUAUACAAGAUGCGCAAAAACUCCUUUUCAUCAGGUGAGAUGCCUUGGUGGGAUCUCAAGUAUUUGGACAACGAAGGUUUGUUCACCAGCGGAUGAUUGUGGUCACGAAAAAAGUGCGUCACCUCCCUUCGCCCAUCUAUCAGCUUCACCAACAUUUUUGCCUUGCAUUGAGUCUGCUUUAUUGUCUCGCGUUUGCGUUUCUUCUUCUUCUUACUAGGAUCAGCCUCCUCUUCAGCAAAGAUUGGAGGUUCAUCUUCCAUUUCCUCAUCACUAUCAACAGGUUUUGGAUCUAGAAUAGGGUCCAGGAUAGGAGGAGGCUCAGCUCCUCCAUCAUCAGCUUUGGGCUUCUUGAACUUGUUCAGCAAAGCUGCUGUUUUACCAAUACAUUGGUGUGAGGUGUCCACCUAGAGGUGUUCAUCUUGACAGAGAAACCCAUCCGUAGGGCAUAGCUAUUGUAGUGAUCCUUAGCAAUUUGAAGGCUGUCAAACCUCAUGCCAACAUAGGGUUCCAUAGGUUGAGAACCAGCCUCAUCCUCUCCUUCUUCUCCUUGCACAGCUCUGUCAACAGCCCCGGCUCCUAGCUCAGUCCUGGAUGGACUAGGAACAUUUGCCGCGGUUCCCAUGUCAUCAAGAGUAUGGCUCUCUGACUGCAAAGACACCACUACAGGGGCACCACGGGUUGAUGACUGUCCUGCCACAUUGUCAUGGCCCAUAGGGUUACCACCACGACUUGCCUGCAUGUAGUAAAUAGAUCGCCCAUUUUCUGUCCAAUUUCCUUGUGGUAUGCUGGGUUGCUGCUGAUCCAUAUCACGAGGAAGCUCAUUGAGAUCAGGAGGCUACUCAUUGAGAUCAAGCAUUUUUUUCCUUUUUUUGGAUGCUGCCACACACUCCCUGCACAUAAAAAAAAAGAAAGUGAUGUCAUCAGUUGUUAACCACGAAAUAGUGUUUCAAACAACCUAAAAACUUAGUAAAUAGGCAGUUGCACACCAUUAUGACAAUCUUAGUUGCAAAAGUUACAUGACUAUAGCAGAAUCUUUAUUAUAACAGUUAUGCAUUUUUUGUUUGCACAAGGUUGUUAUGUUAGUUGCACAGUUUGCAGCAAAUAGCUGCCAAGAACAUGACUUCUUUUUACUACAGAGUUUUCUAACUUUUUUCCUCUGUUUGUUGCAAUGAUCUGCAGGUUUUCUGUUUGUCAAGGAGCCGAUUCAGAUUUUUCUGCACAUAAUUUGGACAUAAUUUGAUGCUACAUUUGAGGCAGAAAAUCCAGGUGAAAGAAGAAAGAAGAAUUGGAUGAAAGAUUAUACUUAUAUGUUUUCAUCAUCGUUUAUGUUUUUACUUCUAGUAUAUUGAACAUAUUUUUACACUAUAGCUUUGCAAUAGGUGUGGGACCAGAAUAUAUGUGUGGGACAAGAUUAUAUGCGUGACUAUUUUAAUAUGGUUUGUGGCUUCAUUAGCCAUGGACAAAAGUUCUUGUGUUUUUGCUGUCGUACUACAGAUUUAUGGUUUUUGCUAGAAUAGAUGUCUCAGUUGCCAGGAUGCAUUUUUUUAGUUGGCCAACAUGCAUGUUCACUUGGACAGCCAAUGUGUUUAGUUGGCUAGAAUAUAUGUCUCAGUUGACCAGGAUGCAUUUUUUUUUCAGUUUUGGCCAACAUGCAUGUUCAGUUGGACAGCCAAUGUGUUCAGUUGGCUAGAAUAGAUGUCUCAGUUGGCCAAGAUACAUUUUUUCAGUUUUGGCCAACAUGCAUGUUUAGUUGGCCAGAAAACAUGAUUUUAUUGCACAUAUACUUCAGGUUUUCUGAAGUGUUCACUCACAAACGUCCAAUACAUGUGGGGCACAAUGCAUGUUUUAGUUUGGCUAGGAUGCAUGCUAAGCUUCCCGAAUACACAUUCAGUUGGCUGGGAUGCAUGUUCAGUUGCACAUUUAUGAAUUUUUCGUUGCACAUAUCUUUUGGACAGUCAAUUUGUUCAUUUGCAAACAAUAACUACAAGUUGGUAGAAUGCAUGUUUAGUUUUUGGCUACAAUGCUUGUUGAGUUGGCUUUAAUCAGGUUUUAAUUGGCCAGAGAACUUGUUUUAGGUGGCUUGUUUAACACAUCCAGGCGGCGGAAACUUGGUUGGCAUGUAUCAUAUUCAGUAAAGUUGGUCUCAAACCAUGUUUAGUGUGCAACUAGGCAGCGGUGGAACUAAACCUAAAUGACUUGUGUUUAGUUGCACAAACCAGGAAAUAGUAGGCUUCUAUCCAUGGUUAGUUGCACAAUAAUUCAUGGUACUUGUUUUCAGUUGCAGAUAUGUCAUUCAUGGGGGGGGUGGUGUGAUGUGCCAGAUUCACCUCUUUUUGAAGCNNNNNNNNNNNNNNNNNNNNNNNNNNNNNNNNNNNNNNNNNNNNNNNNNNNNNNNNNNNNNNNNNNNNNNNNNNNNNNNNNNNNNNNNNNNNNNNNNNNNNNNNNNNNNNNNNNNNNNNNNNNNNNNNNNNNNNNNNNNNNNNNNNNNNNNNNNNNNNNNNNNNNNNNNNNNNNNNNNNNNNNNNNNNNNNNNNNNNNNNNNNNNNNNNNNNNNNNNNNNNNNNNNNNNNNNNNNNNNNNNNNNNNNNNNNNNNNNNNNNNNNNNNNNNNNNNNNNNNNNNNNNNNNNNNNNNNNNNNNNNNNNNNNNNNNNNNNNNNNNNNNNNNNNNNNNNNNNNNNNNNNNNNNNNNNNNNNNNNNNNNNNNNNNNNNNNNNNNNNNNNNNNNNNNNNNNNNNNNNNNNNNNNNNNNNNNNNNNNNNNNNNNNNNNNNNNNNNNNNNNNNNNNNNNNNNNNNNNNNNNNNNNNNNNNNNNNNNNNNNNNNNNNNNNNNNNNNNNNNNNNNNNNNNNNNNNNNNNNNNNNNNNNNNNNNNNNNNNNNNNNNNNNNNNNNNNNNNNNNNNNNNNNNNNNNNNNNNNNNNNNNNNNNNNNNNNNNNNNNNNNNNNNNNNNNNNNNNNNUCGAUCGCACUAGUGGGCAGCUGGCCGCCCACUAGACGCAUCCUAAUUAGAAACAUCCGUUUCUUCUUAUCUUUGGUGUCAGUAAAUGAGUGAUGGCAUAAGGGACGUGUUUUUGUUAGGAUUAAAUUAAUAGAUUAAUUAAAGAGAUAAUCCUUCCAUUGUAAUCUGUACGUCGGUUGCAUUGGUAACCGUCGCGCCUCUCCCCUUGCACCUCUAUGAACAGUCGCAUCUCUUAAUUGCGUCUGUUCCUCUUGUAUAUAUACCGAGAAUCAUUGUCAAUGCAAUAAGACAGUUCCAUCAUUUGUUCCUUUCGAUCUCAAACACAUUAUCAGCAUGCUCCCGCACAGUGAUUCCAGUGACGCACUAGCUGCGAUGGCGUUGGCGCAUGUCCAGACCGCAUCCUGGCGGUGGCGUCCGAGGCCAAGACUCUCGUCUGGCCAUCCGUAGUGAUUUCCUUUGGUGCGCACGCAACUAUCCCGAGGGAGAUGCCACGCGAGAAGAACGGGGCGAAUAGCAGCACCCGCGAGGGAGAGCAGCGGCAGCUCCGAUGCAUUCAAAGUCCAAGAUGGGAAGAAGAAGAGAAUCAGAGACUUGAGUCAAGCACCAUGCAAAUUGGAGUACCAACUUCAUCUAAUUGCUACAGAAAAACAAUGUGCGACUUUUCAAUUUAAUUCAUGGCUACACAAAUUUGCUUUACCAUGAACAAAAUCUUGCCUUACACUGGAUAAAGGAAGAACGCAUCCACAGCAAGAAACAUCGCCUGGCUUCAGUCCCCCGCUGGACCAAGACGCCGGCUCCAGUGGCUUCAUCCCUACCGCACCGAAGAAUCACACCUCCGCGUUGAAUCCUGCCGCCACCAAUGGCGAUGGCAUUUGCUUCCCCUGGCCUCGGCCCCGCGCUAGACCAGGACACCAGAAUCACCAG
RNAcentral lists this long non-coding RNA (29088 nucleotides) under Triticum aestivum (bread wheat). RNAcentral's name for it is "long non-coding RNA (TAES_LNC003098)". The record is from RNAcentral. Lineage: Eukaryota; Viridiplantae; Streptophyta; Magnoliopsida; Poales; Poaceae.